Molecule: ribosomal RNA, 253 nt
Filed under: uncultured bacterium
Lineage: Bacteria
Description: partial 16S ribosomal RNA
Rfam family: Bacterial small subunit ribosomal RNA
Source: RNAcentral
UACAGAGGGUGCGAGCGUUAAUCGGAAUUACUGGGCGUAAAGGGUGCGUAGGUGGUUAAUUAAGUCAGAUGUGAAAUCCCUGGGCUUAACCUAGGAAUGGCAUAUGAAACUAAUUGACUAGAGUGUGGGAGAGGGAAGUGGAAUUUCCGGUGUAGCGGUGAAAUGCGUAGAUAUCGGGAGGAACACCAGUGGCGAAGGCGACUUCCUGGCCUGUUCUUGACGCUGAGGCGCGAAAGCUAGGGGAGCAAACGGG